This 497-nucleotide ribosomal RNA is filed under the name uncultured bacterium. Its description in RNAcentral is "bacterial SSU rRNA". It matches the Rfam family "Bacterial small subunit ribosomal RNA", at positions 30 to 523 of the family's 1533-position model. The record is from RNAcentral.
AUUGAACGCUGGCGGAAUGCUUUACACAUGCAAGUCGAACGGCAGCACGGGGCAACCUGGUGGCGAGUGGCGAACGGGUGAGUAAUACAUCGGAACGUGCCCAAUCGUGGGGGAUAACGUAGCGAAAGUUACGCUAAUACCGCAUACGAUCUACGGAUGAAAGCGGGGGAUCGCAAGACCUCGCGCGAAUGGAGCGGCCGAUGUCAGAUUAGGUAGUUGGUGGGGUAAAGGCUCACCAAGCCAACGAUCUGUAGCUGGUCUGAGAGGACGACCAGCCACACUGGAACUGAGACACGGUCCAGACUCCUACGGGAGGCAGCAGUGGGGAAUUUUGGACAAUGGGCGCAAGCCUGAUCCAGCCAUUCCGCGUGCAGGAUGAAGGCCUUCGGGUUGUAACUGCUUUUGUACGGAACGAAACGGUCUGCCCUAAUACGGCGGGCUAAUGACGGUACCGUAAGAAUAAGCACCGGCUAACUACGUGCCAGCAGCCGCGGUAA